AAUUCCCAGGCUAGGGGUUGAAUUGGAGCUGCAGCUAAGACCUAUACCAUAGCCACAGCAAAGCCAAAUCCAAGCCAUGUCUGCAACCCACACCCAUGGCAACACCGGAUCCUUCACCCACUGAGCGAGGCCAGGAAUUGAACCUGCGUCUUCAUGGAUACUAGUGGGGAUUGUUACUGCUAAGGCCAUGGUGGGAACUCCAUCACCAAUUCUUUCUUAAAAAAACUUAUUCAUGAAAAUGAAAAUAUUUAAAAAUUCUACUUCAAGAGACAUAGUACCAAGAGACUAAUUCAGGUGAUAUUAAGUAUGAAUUAUAUCCCAUAAAAUGGAAUAUGAAACAUGUUGGCUUAGUUUUUCCUUCUUUAUUUCUGCUUCCCAUUCCUGGUGGUAGCCACAGUGUUAUAGGUAAAAUUGCCUAUUGGUCACUUUUAAAACAAUAAUCCCUGAGGGCUGGCCUGUAAGGUGGGUAGUCAUGAAGCACUUGCACUUACUAAAAGGCAGUUUGGCAUAUGUGUCAUGUUUAGUCAGUGGAAGAGUGGGCCUGUUUAGACCCAGUUGUUCAGCAUGUGGAUGGGAAUGGAUUUGAGAUAUAAAUGAUAUCAUAUGGUAUUUGUCUUUCUCUUUCCGACUGACUUCACUUAGUAUGCGGGUCUCCAGUUCCAUCAUGGGAAAAAAUAAGAAUCAUAAAAAAAUUCAAAUUAAAAAAAAGAAAAAAAUGAGAAGAGUCAGUCUUCCGCCCAUACUCUUCUUAGACAUAAUUGGUUAUUUUCUCAUGAAAAACUAACCUCAGUGCGGUAGCUUAAAUAGAAAUCCCCAAAAGAUAUGUCCAAGUCUUAAACCCUGGUACCUGCAAAUGUGACCUUACUUGGAAAUAAAGAUUUUGUCGAGUUAAGAUCUUGAGAUAAGAUCAUCCUAGAUGGAGAGUGGGCUCACUCCAAUUCCAAUAACUGGUGUCCUUAUACGAGAAAGGAGAGGGGGAUUUGAGCCACACAGACGCAGUGACACAGAGGAAAACUAUGUGAGGACAGAGGGGGAGAUCAGAGUGAUGCAAAUUGAAGCCAAGGAUCUAGGAGAAAGGCCUGGAGCACACAAUUCCUGGGAACCUCUCUGUGAAACCAAUCACACUGACACCUUGAUGUCAGACAUCUAGAUUCCUGAAUCAAGAGAGAAAAAACUCCUGUUGUUUUGAGCACCAAAUUUAUGAUAAUUUACCCUGGGUAACGAAUGCACUCACAUACCACUUUAUAUCUCAGUUCCUGUUCAUUCUGAGCUCAUUAGAAACCCAACAAGAGCAGUGGUAGCAAUUGGUCACUACACUAGAGAAAAGCUCUCUCCUUGAUCCUUUGAAAAUAGUUACCAAAGAAAUAUUUUCAUAAUAAGCUAACUGCCCCAGCUCCCCCCUCCCCCUAAUUGGGACGAAAUCCACCUACAGCCACAGGACUCCUACUCUUAUGUGCAUCUUUAGAAGGUCUAAUCUAAUAGUUUGGGUUUAGGCAGGUCUACUGGGUCCCCUGCUCUGGCCAUCUUCCUUUUUACCCAGCUAGCUGUUGGGCCUGCCCCAGGUACCCCUCACCAGAGUGAGUGUUUCCAGCCAUAGAGUCCUAGCCUUUUUUAAAUUAACGAAUCAGAACCCAGUAUGACUUGGCCCCCCCCAGAACUAGUACCUUGAACUAGAAAAGCUUGAAGAGGAGCUGAGUUUACAUACAUACAUAGUCUCUGGCAAACAGAGCCUGCGUGUUCUUUUAUAGAAGAGAGAAAAAGGUUUCCCUGUAGCACCAGUGGGGGCUGUUUCAACUUCCCUAAUGCAGGUUACAAAGGUUUUGCAAUGGAGUGUCCUUCCUUCCGUUCCCCACUUCCACCAAUACAUUUAAAUGCAAUAUGCUUGUUUUUUUUUUUCUUUCUAAAAUAAUAACUUUAGUGAAAAUAAUGCAGACACAAUAAAAAUGCACGUAAUAUAGAAGGGCUAGUUGCAUGCAAUAUGCUUCUAAUGCAAUGGGGAAAUAUGUUUGCCACCAGACUCAGAGUGUUGGGGGGCAUGCUUCAUAAUAGGAUGUAUUUUACCAGGAAGAAGUAAAUCAGAGGCAUAUAUUAAGAAGCACCCAGGGGCACACCCAUAGCAAUGACCUUUAAAGGGCAGUAGUAAGUUACUUGACAGCAUAACCAGCGAGUGAAUGAUCUUGCCAUGAAAGGUCACCUGCAACUAGAACAAUAUUUCCUAUUUCAGCACAUACUUGGUACUUUUUGACACAUUUCUCUUCCUCAGGAUGAUCUGAUUUCUGUAGAAUAGAUCGGAUGCAUUUUCUUCGUUUUGUGAUGAAUGUGCCCGAUUUGGGCUCUCAGUAAUACUGGCUGGCACCUGUAGGCAGUCCUUGCUAUUUUGGUUGUUUUGAAGGCUGGCUAUUAAAAAGAGGCAUUUGCAUUACUCUCUUAUUUUGACAUGCCAUGGAAUUUUAGAAUGUUGCAAAUUAAAAGGGGCUUAUGAAACACUUCAGUCUAAUCCCUUUUUGCAAAAGAGGACACAGCUAGGAAGGAACAAAGCCCCUUGUCCAAGGUGACACAAAAGGAAGGGGGGGGAACCCCAGCUCCCUACUCUUGAGUCUGCUUCACCUUCCAUCCUAACACAACCUUCACAGGUAAGUCAGCAAACAUUUAGCAGAGUGGAUUAGCAGUGCUCUGUGUUUAAGUGCCUGUGAAAUUCCUUAAUAGGUAUCUCUUCUCCCUACUUUGCUGCUUUCCCAAUGGAUCCCCAAGACGCUUGCUUUGUUCUCUUCUCAUCUUGCAGACACCAUGGGCUGUGUCUGGUCAGCCAUCACUUUUGUUUCCUAAUCCAAUUGCAUGACUUGAUAUUCACAGUCCCUACUCAUUGUUCUGGUGUGUUAGACCAUGACUAUAGCUUGCCAGAUCUCCUGUCUCUGGUGAUCACUGAUGCUUCUCAAUCUUCUGUCUUGUGAUGGGAUUUUAUCCAUGCUGUUGGAAGGCAGGAAGUUGUCUGAAGCAAGCGUGGAAAAUAUUGAGUGGUUUGGUGUUUGGUUAAAGAUACUACAUUAAACCAAAAAGCUCAAAAACAUCAAUCUGGCUCUUUUUCUGCUUACUUUUUCCUCACUGGAAAUGUAAAAAAAAUUGUUGGAUUUCAUUCUCCUUUGAAUGUGUCAUUUAAAAUGUUGAUUGUACAUAAUCACAAUGUUUUUGCUAUGGAAAUCGAUUUAUCACAGUUAAAAAAGUGACUAAGCCACUGAAGUUACUCAGAUAAUAUUCAAUCGGCAAACCAUUGUCUUGGCUUCCACCAGCCAUUGCCUGUUUGUGUGCAGUGAACUCUGAAGUGAAAACGCUCAGUUACAAGUGAGCUGGUACAUGUAUCGUAGCUUCCUUUCCUCUAAGAUUCAGCAACACUGCAAUUCCAUUCCCAACCGCAACAGAGACACACACCAGCACAUGAGUGGGCUCCGACACAGCUCUAUUUUCAUCUCAAGAAGAAAGAAAAAGAGGGGAGUGGAGGAAGACAAUAAUUUUAGUAUUUGCCUUGAGUUAAAGUAUAUUAUCUUUGAAAGGGUUGGCCAGGAAAAAGUCAAGUUUGCUUAAAUGACUUUUAAUGACGCCUGCAUGCACACCAUGCUGUGAGGUAUGUGAGUAUUUUUUGAGUCAAGCUGAGUCCCCAGAGCCCUCCAGGCCAUGGCUGGGCCUCCUUGUACAUGACUCAGGGGGUCAGUGGGGACUCCCUGGCUGACCCUGGCUGGCUGCUCUGGGACCCAGUUCCCUGAAAAGGUCCCUGUUCUUUGAAGUAGUUGGGUGCAGGGUUUUGCUCAUGCCCAUUUGGGACUCUCAGGCUAUUCUUGUCUAUUAAACUUCAGUUUGCUCACCUCGUGCUCAUUUGUCCUGUUCCACAAAUUUUGCUAUAUAUAACAAUAAAAUGAGGAAGAAGAAAAGUGCUUUUAAAAUUCCAGAAGAAAGAGGCUAAUUUAAUGCUAUUAUACAAGAAAAUAUUACAUGCUGGUAUUUCUCUACCUUCAUAUGUCAAAUAGAAAUAAAAGAGAGACAUGGAAGAUUUCUUUGGAAAACAUUUAGAACUCAGGGCAAGGUGUAGCUUGAAGGUUUCUUUUCUUUCGAAAAUGCUAAAAAAAACUAUGAUGCUUAUUGGACUGCUUAUUUCUAUUUGAUGUAUCACUACAUCACUGCAGAUUUUUGAUAUGCAAAUUCCUAUGAAACCAAAGAUGGAAAUAUUCUUCUCAUUGAUCGCCAUGGGCUUUUAUGUAAUAAGGAUAAAUACAUAGUAAAAAUGCAAUUCAAAGAAGAAUGUCCUUAUCAGAAAGAACAGACAAGCAGCUUGUUUCCCUGCUCUGCAAACAAACAUUUUUUAUGACAUUCUUCAAGUUAAAUAUGAAUUUAUUGAUUUUUGCCAUUUCUUCUGCAGAAACACAGGGCAUCAAAGAGAGGACUACAUCUGUCAAUAUGAUUCAAGUCAAUAUGAUUCAAACAGCCUCAAUGCUUUUCCCAGAAUGUUCCUUUCAAAAUCCAACUCUGCUAUUUAGAAUGUAACUAGAGAAUUACUCGCAGGGGCAGGAUUGACAAGCAAAACCUGUACUUAGAUCUGUAUCCUCCUGGACGGAUCUUUUGUAAAAAUGGGGCAAAGAUGUAGUAAGUAAUUUUGAAAAAUGAAGGCAACAUGAGUAUGGACACAAGGUAAGUAUGCUGAAAGGUAUGCAUGAGGCAAGGGUGCUGAGUGAGGGGUUAUUAUUUUAGCUGAGAAAUAAGAGAAUAAUCAGAUCCUCUUUUCUCCAUCUCAAUCCAGGGCCCAUCGGCAUCAUCACCACUGCACAUUCACUUUAAAAGAACAGAAAGCGUAUGAUCACACUAGCUCACAAAGAAA
This 4864-nucleotide long non-coding RNA is filed under the name Sus scrofa (pig). RNAcentral describes it as "lncRNA (ENSSSCG00000060937.1)". The record is from RNAcentral. Lineage: Eukaryota; Metazoa; Chordata; Mammalia; Artiodactyla; Suidae.